Molecule: ribosomal RNA, 377 nt
Filed under: Hydra vulgaris (swiftwater hydra)
Lineage: Eukaryota; Metazoa; Cnidaria; Hydrozoa; Anthoathecata; Hydridae
Description: partial 16S ribosomal RNA
Rfam family: Bacterial large subunit ribosomal RNA
Source: RNAcentral
CUCUGACUGUAAUAAAGUAGCAUAAUUAGUUGUCAUUUAAUUGAUGGAGAGAAUGAAUGGUUACACGAAUUUUUCACUGUCUUAAAAAAAAUUUUUUAAAAUUGAAAUAAUAGUUAAGAUGCUAUUUAAAAUUGUAAGACGAAGAGACCCUAUAGAGCUUUACUAUAAACUUUUUUCUUAAAAAUAAUAAAAAAUUAUUAAAACUAGAAAGUUUGGUAGUUUAGUUGGGGCGACUGUUUUUUAAAAAUAACAAAAAUAAGCAAUAUAAUAAAUUUAUUUAUUGUAUAAUUAAACAAUUUAACAAUUACUAUAGUAGGCUAUAAUGACCCGUUAUUAUAAUAAAUAAUAAAUAACGAUUAAUUGAUAAAAGCUACCUG